CCUACGGGAGGCAGCAGUGGGGGAUAUUGCACAAUGGGCGGAACCCUGAACCAGCGAAGCCGCGUGGGUGAAGGAGUGCCUCGGCAUGUUAAGCCUCAUUGGCAGGGAAGAAACAAGACGGUACUUGACUAAGAAGACCCGGCCAAAUACGAGCCAGUAGCCGGGGUACUACGUAGGGGGCGAGCGUUAUCCGGAUUCACUGGGUGUAAAGGGAGUGUAUGGGGUCAAGGAAGCCGGGGGGGAAAGGCCGGGGCCCAACCCCGGGACUGCGCUUGAAACUGGAGGGCUCGAGUGCGGGAGGGGCAGGCGGAAGGCGUGGUGUAGCGGUGAAAUGCAUAGAUAUCAGGAAGAACACCGACUGCGAAGGCAGCAUGCUGGACCGCGACUGACGUUGAGGCACGAAAGCGUGGGGAGCGAACAGGAUUAGAUACCCCUGUAGUC
RNAcentral lists this ribosomal RNA (441 nucleotides) under uncultured bacterium. Its description in RNAcentral is "partial 16S ribosomal RNA". It matches the Rfam family "Bacterial small subunit ribosomal RNA", at positions 338 to 795 of the family's 1533-position model. The record is from RNAcentral.